GGAUGAAUGGCUGAGUGGUCGAAAGCACACGAUUUGAAAUCGUGCAUUACUAAGUAAUCGUGGGUUCGAAUCCCACUUCAUCCUACC
This 87-nucleotide transfer RNA is filed under the name Leucocryptos marina. Its description in RNAcentral is "tRNA-Ser". It matches the Rfam family "tRNA". Rfam says of the family: Transfer RNA (tRNA) molecules are approximately 80 nucleotides in length. Their secondary structure includes four short double-helical elements and three loops (D, anti-codon, and T loops). Further hydrogen bonds mediate the characteristic L-shaped molecular structure. tRNAs have two regions of fundamental functional importance: the anti-codon, which is responsible for specific mRNA codon recognition, and the 3' end, to which the tRNAs corresponding amino acid is attached (by aminoacyl-tRNA synthetases). tRNAs cope with the degeneracy of the genetic code in two manners: having more than one tRNA (with a specific anti-codon) for a particular amino acid; and 'wobble' base-pairing, i.e. permitting non-standard base-pairing at the 3rd anti-codon position. The record is from RNAcentral. Lineage: Eukaryota; Cryptophyceae; Kathablepharidacea; Katablepharidaceae.